Molecule: long non-coding RNA, 460 nt
Filed under: Gossypium barbadense (sea-island cotton)
Lineage: Eukaryota; Viridiplantae; Streptophyta; Magnoliopsida; Malvales; Malvaceae
Description: long non-coding RNA (GBAR_LNC014251)
Source: RNAcentral
AACCAUAAAUUUUAAUGGUCAGCAAGAAAUCUUCUGACCCAUUCCAACCGUACAUCAGAAGGUAAACUAAAGAAAACUACCAUUUGGGUUGGAUGAUCUGGAAUUUUACUCAAUGCUUGAAACCGUUCAUCCACAGUUAAACCUUCUAUUUCACAUAAGGUUGGAUAUAAAUUUGCCGCUUUUUCUUGGAUGCCCUGGUGAACUACCACAUCGGAGGCAAUACUCCUACUGAUUUGUUCGCCAAUUGCCCGCAUGUUUUCAGCCAAUAAAGUGGCAGCAUCAUUAACUGAAGAAGAAAAAUGACCAGUUGCAUCAGAAUUCUUUUUUUUUUCCUCUUUGAAGAUGAGGAACCCCCUUGGUUUUUGUCUGUUUGCGGCUCCGUGGCAGAAACAUCCAUGUCAUCGAAAGAGACAUUAGCAUCGCAAUCAUAGUAUUCGUUUCUGUCUUCAUUAAUAUCUGC